GGGAGUGUGGGUCAGUGGUUAAGGCUUUGGGUUAUUGAUCAGAAGGUUAUGAGUUCAAACCCCAGCACCCGCA
Non-coding RNA from Pangasius djambal, 73 nucleotides. Lineage: Eukaryota; Metazoa; Chordata; Actinopteri; Siluriformes; Pangasiidae. The record is from the annotation of a GenBank genome assembly.